RNAcentral lists this ribosomal RNA (417 nucleotides) under uncultured bacterium. RNAcentral's name for it is "bacterial SSU rRNA". It matches the Rfam family "Bacterial small subunit ribosomal RNA", at positions 355 to 791 of the family's 1533-position model. The record is from RNAcentral.
UGGGGAAUAUUGCACAAUGGGGGAAACCCUGAUGCAGCGACGCCGCGUGGAGGAAGAAGGUCUUCGGAUUGUAAACUCCUGUUGUUGGGGAAGAUAAUGACGGUACCCAACAAGGAAGUGACGGCUAACUACGUGCCAGCAGCCGCGGUAAAACGUAGGUCACAAGCGUUGUCCGGAAUUACUGGGUGUAAAGGGAGCGCAGGCGGGAAGACAAGUUGGAAGUGAAAUCUAUGGGCUCAACCCAUAAACUGCUUUCAAAACUGUUUUCUUGAGUAGUGCAGAGGUAGGCGGAAUUCCCGGUGUAGCGGUGGAAUGCGUAGAUAUCGGGAGAACACCAGUGGCGAAGGCGGCCUACUGGGCACCAACUGACGCUGAGGCUCGAAAGUGUGGGUAGCAAACAGGAUUAGAUACCCUUGU